Molecule: long non-coding RNA, 869 nt
Organism: Raphanus sativus (radish)
Lineage: Eukaryota; Viridiplantae; Streptophyta; Magnoliopsida; Brassicales; Brassicaceae
Exons: 5
Source: RefSeq, a predicted model, not a curated record
ACGUGCCAUUGAAUGGCGAUUCUUCGGCUUCUCCGUUAAUCCUAGAUAUUGAUAUAUAUUAUCCGUUUGCUUCAUAUGUGACUCAUUGUUUUUAUACUCUCUCUGCACUAUACCUUGCCAAAUUCUAGCUCACUGUAAUGGCGACUUCCUAAGUGAACCCUUCUAAUCUGAAGAUUGGCCGUUGUAAGGAGAUUGUGGUGGGCCGUUUGCUUCCAUUCUGAGAAGCUCGGAAUCUGAAGAAAAGAGGCGAACUUAUUGGAGUUGACAUGUUGUUUGGACGAGAAGUCAACCUUGAUACAAGGUUCCAUCGUCCCCACACCGGCUUAACAGUUUCAAGAAUCUACAGAGGGAAGGAAGAGUGUACUAGCUCAGUUAUCCUUAUGUUGCUAGAAGCAACAUUCACUUCAAGCUGUGUGACCCACCGGUCUGUGUUUGAUUUACAGGGCAUACCAACUUUUUCGAGUUGAUGAACCAUAUUGAUUUCAUUCCAGAUGAGAAUUAUUCAAACGUACAGGAUCACACUCUUUGACAACAAAAACUGAGCCACGCAGGGAUUUUUAAAAGAGUUUUGUGGAGGUGGGGCUGGAUCCUCUUCAACUACAUCCAAGUAUGGUGGUGUUAAGACCAGGAGAUUGAUAGCUACUUUCUCAACUCAACCCCGACUGUACAUCCACUUAGCAAGUCCACUACUAAGACUCUAUCAAGCUGAGGCUGUGGAGUCCAUUUGCAAGGCUGAGGUGGCUGAUAUUGACAAGGAUGGUGCUAUAUCCCCUGUUAUAAGUGCUCGCACAAACUGCUUCAUUGAUUCACAUCUUACUAUAGUUUAUUUAAAGUAUAGACUUCAUACAUUGAGUUAGAAAUGGUGAUUA